RNAcentral lists this ribosomal RNA (433 nucleotides) under uncultured bacterium. RNAcentral's name for it is "partial 16S ribosomal RNA". It matches the Rfam family "Bacterial small subunit ribosomal RNA", at positions 29 to 507 of the family's 1533-position model. The record is from RNAcentral.
AGCGAACGCUGGCGGCAGGCCUAACACAUGCAAGUCGAACGAACUCUUCGGAGUUAGUGGCGGACGGGUGAGUAACCCGUGGGAACGUGCCUUUUGGUUCGGAAUAACUCAGGGAAACUUGUGCUAAUACCGAAUGUGCCCUUCGGGGGAAAGAUUUAUCGCCAUUAGAGCGGCCCGCGUCUGAUUAGCUAGUUGGUGAGGUAACGGCUCACCAAGGCGACGAUCAGUAGCUGGUCUGAGAGGAUGACCAGCCACACUGGGACUGAGACACGGCCCAGACUCCUGCGGGAGGCAGCAGUGGGGAAUCUUGCGCAAUGGGCGAAAGCCUGACGCAGCCAUGCCGCGUGAAUGAUGAAGGUCUUAGGAUUGUAAAAUUCUUUCACCGGGGACGAUAAUGACGGUACCCGGAGAAGAAGCCCCGGCUAACUUCGUG